UGGUGCAUGGACUGAAUGAUCAAUUU
This 26-nucleotide non-coding RNA is filed under the name Homo sapiens (human). The record is from RNAcentral. Lineage: Eukaryota; Metazoa; Chordata; Mammalia; Primates; Hominidae.